GACGAACGCUGGCGGCGUGCCUAACACAUGCAAGUCGAACGAGUCCAGACUUCGGUCUGAGGCGAGUGGCGGACGGGUGAGUAACACGUGAGCAAUCUAUCUCUGUGCGGGGGACAACCCGGGGAAACCCGGGCUAAUACCGCAUGGUCAGUUCCCAGGCUCUGGGGAUUGGGAAAGGUGGCCUCUUUACAAUGCUGCCGUGCAGGGAGGAGCUCGCGGGCUAUCAGCUAGCUGGUGCGGUAAUGGCGCACCAGGGCGACGACGGCUACGGGGUCUGAGAGGACGACCCCGCACAUUGGAACUGAGACACGGUCCAGACUCCUACGGGAGGCAGCAGUGGGGAAUUUUGGGCAAUGGCCGAAAGGCUGACCCAGCGACGCCGCGUGUGGGAGGAAGCCCUUCGGGGUGUAAACCACUGUCGGGAGGGACGAACGAGGGAAGUGGGAAUACUGCUUCUCUGUGACGGUACCUUCAAAGGAAGCGCCGGCUAACUCUGUGCCAGCAGCC
This 507-nucleotide ribosomal RNA is filed under the name uncultured bacterium. Its description in RNAcentral is "bacterial SSU rRNA". It matches the Rfam family "Bacterial small subunit ribosomal RNA", at positions 28 to 516 of the family's 1533-position model. The record is from RNAcentral.